Molecule: ribosomal RNA, 374 nt
Filed under: uncultured bacterium
Lineage: Bacteria
Description: bacterial SSU rRNA
Rfam family: Bacterial small subunit ribosomal RNA
Source: RNAcentral
AACGAACGCUGGCGGCAGGCUUAACACAUGCAAGUCGAGCGCCCCCGCAAGGGGAGCGGCAGACGGGUGAGUAACGCGUGGGAACGUGCCCUUUGGUUCGGAACAACUCCGGGAAACUGGAGCUAAUACCGGAUAAGCCCUUCGGGGGAAAGAUUUAUCGCCAAAGGAUCGGCCCGCGUCUGAUUAGCUAGUUGGUGAGGUAAUGGCUCACCAAGGCGACGAUCAGUAGCUGGUCUGAGAGGAUGAUCAGCCACACUGGGACUGAGACACGGCCCAGACUCCUACGGGAGGCAGCAGUGGGGGAAUAUUGGACAAUGGGCGCAAGCCUGAUCCAGCCAUGCCGCGUGAGUGAUGAAGGCCUUAGGGUUGUAAAG